GCCUCCUUAGCUCAAUAGGUAGAGCAACGCACUUGUAAUGCGUAGGUUGACAGUUCGAUUCUGUUGGGGGGCU
Molecule: transfer RNA, 73 nt
Filed under: bacterium
Lineage: Bacteria
Description: tRNA-Thr
Rfam family: tRNA
About the family: Transfer RNA (tRNA) molecules are approximately 80 nucleotides in length. Their secondary structure includes four short double-helical elements and three loops (D, anti-codon, and T loops).
Source: RNAcentral